This 588-nucleotide ribosomal RNA is filed under the name uncultured eukaryote. RNAcentral describes it as "SSU rRNA". It matches the Rfam family "Eukaryotic small subunit ribosomal RNA", at positions 585 to 1204 of the family's 1831-position model. The record is from RNAcentral.
CCAGCUCCAAUAGCGUAUAUUAAAGUUGUUGCGGUUAAAAAGCUCGUACCGGUCCGCCCUCUGGGUGUGUAUCUGGCUCGGCCUUGGCAUCUUCUUGGAGAACGUACUGCACUUGACUGUGUGGUGCGGUAUCCAGGACCUUUACUUUGAGAAAAUUCGAGUGUUUCAAGCAGGCACACGCCUUGAAUACAUUAGCAUGGAAUAAUACUAUAGGACCUCGGUUCUAUUUUGUUGGUUUCUAGAGCUGAGGUAAUGAUUGAUAGGGAUAGUUGGGGGCAUUCGUAUUUAACUGUCAGAGGUGAAAUUCUUGGAUUUAAGACGGACUACUGCGAAAGCAUUUGCCAAGGAUGUUUUCAUUGAUCAAGAACGAAAGUUAGGGGAUCGAAGACGAUCAGAUACCGUCCUAGUCUUAACCAUAAACUAUGCCGACUAGAGAUUGGAGGUCGUUUUUUUACGACUCCUUCAGCACCUUAUGAGAAAUCAAAGUCUUUGGGUUCCGGGGGGGAGUAUGGUCGCAAGGCUGAAACUUAAGGGAAUUGACGGAAGGGCACCGCCAGGAGUGGAGCCUGCGGCUUAAUUCGACUCAAC